This is a small nucleolar RNA of Electrophorus electricus (electric eel), 76 nucleotides long. NCBI's taxonomy places the organism in Eukaryota, Metazoa, Chordata, Actinopteri, Gymnotiformes, Gymnotidae. The record is from Ensembl.
UCCUUUAAAUGAUGAUUUUAAAAGUUUGACUUUCGUUCUUCUGACUCCAAUGAAGCCAAACUUUCUUCUGAGAGGA